This 496-nucleotide ribosomal RNA is filed under the name uncultured bacterium. RNAcentral's name for it is "partial 16S ribosomal RNA". It matches the Rfam family "Bacterial small subunit ribosomal RNA", at positions 29 to 507 of the family's 1533-position model. The record is from RNAcentral.
AUGAACGCUGGCGGCGUGCCUAAUACAUGCAGGUCGAGCGAACAGACGAGGAGCUUGCUCCUCUGACGUUAGCGGCGGACGGGUGAGUAACACGUGGAUAACCUACCUAUAAGACUGGGAUAACUUCGGGAAACCGGAGCUAAUACCGGAUAAUAUAUUGAACCGCAUGGUUCAAUAGUGAAAGACGGUUUUGCUGUCACUUAUAGAUGGAUCCGCGCCGCAUUAGCUAGUUGGUAAGGUAACGGCUUACCAAGGCAACGAUGCGUAGCCGACCUGAGUGGGUGAUCGGCCACACUGGAACUGAGACACGGUCCAGACUCCUACGGGAGGCAGCAGUAGGGAAUCUUCCGCAAUGGGCGAAAGCCUGACGGAGCAACGCCGCGUGAGUGAUGAAGGUCUUCGGAUCGUAAAACUCUGUUAUUAGGGAAGAACAAAUGUGUAAGUAACUAUGCACGUCUUGACGGUACCUAAUCAGAAAGCCACGGCUAACUACGUG